This 465-nucleotide ribosomal RNA is filed under the name uncultured bacterium. Its description in RNAcentral is "partial 16S ribosomal RNA". It matches the Rfam family "Bacterial small subunit ribosomal RNA", at positions 28 to 507 of the family's 1533-position model. The record is from RNAcentral.
GACGAACGCUGGCGGCGUGCUUAACACAUGCAAGUCGAACGGAAAGGCCCCUUUGGUGGUACUCGAGUGGCGAACGGGUGAGUAACACGUGAGUAACCUGCCCUUCACUUCGGGAUAACUUCAGGAAACUGGGGCUAAUACCGGAUAGGAAUCCUUGCUGCAUGGUGGGGGUUGGAAAGCUUCGGCGGUUUUGGAUGGACUCGCGGCUUAUCAGCUUGUUGGUGGGGUAGUGGCUUACCAAGGCUUUGACGGGUAGCCGGCCUGAGAGGGCGACCGGCCACAUUGGGACUGAGAUACGGCCCAGACUCCUACGGGAGGCAGCAGUGGGGAAUAUUGCACAAUGGGCGGAAGCCUGAUGCAGCAACGCCGCGUGCGGGAUGACGGCCUUCGGGUUGUAAACCGCUUUCAGCAGGGGCGAAGCUUGUGGUGACGGUACCUGCAGAAGAAGCACCGGCUAACUACGUG